RNAcentral lists this ribosomal RNA (406 nucleotides) under uncultured bacterium. RNAcentral's name for it is "partial 16S ribosomal RNA". It matches the Rfam family "Bacterial small subunit ribosomal RNA", at positions 29 to 526 of the family's 1533-position model. The record is from RNAcentral.
AUUGAACGCUGGCGGCAGGCCUAACACAUGCAAGUCGAACGAGUGGCGGACGGGUGAGUAAUGUCUGGGAAACUGCCCGAUGGAGGGGGAUAACUACUGGAAACGGUAGCUAAUACCGCAUACCAUCGGAUGUGCACAGAUGGGAUUAGCUAGUAGGUGGGGUAACGGCUCACCUAGGCGACGAUACCUAGCUGGUCUGAGAGGAGGACCGGCCACACGGGAACGGAGAAACGGUCAAGACUCCUACGGAAGGCAGCAGUGGGGAAUAUUGCACAAGGGGCGCAAGCCGGAGGCAGCAAUGCCGCGUGUAUGAGGAAGGCCUUCGGGUUGUAAAGUACUUUCAGCGAGGAGGCGUUACUCGCAGAAGAAGCACCGGCUAACUCCGUGCCAGCAGCCGCGGUAAUAC